Non-coding RNA from Lepisosteus oculatus (spotted gar), 843 nucleotides. The record is from RefSeq and is a predicted model, not a curated record. NCBI's taxonomy places the organism in Eukaryota, Metazoa, Chordata, Actinopteri, Semionotiformes, Lepisosteidae.
UCGUAUUGUGGCGCUAAGUAUAGUUCAAAACUAAAUACUGUAGCUACAUAUAACGCGAUGGGGAGCCGCAUCUUGACUAAUUAAAGGGCCUUCCGCUUCACACAUCGUAUCAUUACAAUCUUAAGUAUAAUUUACUUAACAUUAUUACACGAAAUAACAGAAGUAACACAGUGAUUAUAAUUUAAUCAGGUAUUUGGAAGAAUUACAAAAAAACAGAUGAAUAACAAUGCUCUAUCACAGCUUCAUUGAUUAUUUUCAUGAAGCCCUAAAGAGAGGUUUACUUGUACACGCACUGAUCAAGAUUCCCACGGUACCGGUACCUUAGCAGUACCGAAAAACGUGGCAGAAAAAAUCCGUUAUAUUCGCCGAUAGUACCUAAAACAAGGGCUCAGAGGCAAUACAUGGAGGCCUCGGUAAAUAGUCCCAUGCCCGUGCCCGUGAGCCAAGCCGGCCUCUCCUGCAGCUGCCGCGCGUAGACCAGCCACGCACCCCGGGCACAGCAGCCCAGCCUUGCGCCGCAGCCCCCCCGCACUCAUUUCGCAUUUGGAAGAAAUCAGCUAACAGGCAGAGAAGCAGGACAGAAACCUUAGCUCAGCACCGCUUAAUCAAUCUUCCACGAUCCUUGCAGGACAUACAGACAUGUAUAAUAAGUCAAGUAGGUAGCUGCGUCAGCAUGGGCAGGCUGCAAAGGAACAAGUAAAGGUUUAUUCCACGCUGAAAAGAGAAGGAAACAAAAGCCUUGACAUCAAUCGGACGAAGAGCAACAUCGACUGCGGUGAACACGACUCUACAGAUAGGGCAAGUGAGAUUUCUCCACCCGAACCAAGCCUUCAGUUGAGACAG